UACGAAGGGGGCUAGCGUUGCUCGGAAUUACUGGGCGUAAAGCGCGCGUAGGCGGAUCUGCAAGUCGGGGGUGAAAUCCCGAGGCUCAACCUCGGAACUGCCUUCGAUACUGCGGGUCUCGAGUCCGGGAGAGGUGAGUGGAAUUCCUGUGUAGAGGUGAAAUUCGUAGAUAUUAGGAAGAACACCAGUGGCGAAGGCGGCUCACUGGCCCGGUACUGACGCUGAGGCGCGAAAGCUAGGGGAGCAAACGGG
This 252-nucleotide ribosomal RNA is filed under the name uncultured bacterium. Its description in RNAcentral is "partial 16S ribosomal RNA". It matches the Rfam family "Bacterial small subunit ribosomal RNA", at positions 524 to 776 of the family's 1533-position model. The record is from RNAcentral.